GCAUAAUCAUUUGUCUACUAAUUAUAGACCUGUAUGAAAGGCAAAAUGAGGGUCCAACUGUCUCUUAUAAUAAAUCAAUUAAACUGAUCUUCUAGUAAAAAAGCUAGAAUAAUAACAUAAGACCAGAAGACCCUGUGAAGCUUAAAUAAAACUAUUAAACCACAUAAUAACUACUUUCGGUUGGGGCGACCUUGGAAAAAAAAAGAACUUCCAAGACCCAGCACAGCUGACAAUUGAACCAAGUUACUCCAGGGAUAACAGCGCAAUCUUCUUCAAGAGCCCAUAUCAAAAAGAAGGUUUACGACCUCGAUGUUGGAUCAGGACAUCCUAAUGGUGCAGCCGCUAUUAAGGGUUCGUUUGUUCAACGAUUAACAGUCCUACGUGAUCUGA
Molecule: ribosomal RNA, 390 nt
Filed under: Lampropeltis calligaster
Lineage: Eukaryota; Metazoa; Chordata; Lepidosauria; Squamata; Colubridae
Description: partial 16S ribosomal RNA
Rfam family: Bacterial large subunit ribosomal RNA
Source: RNAcentral